UGAGCCGGCCAGGUGGCCGCGGCUCGGAUCGCGCCGGCUAGCCGGCCGGGACCGGGUCGAGGAAGGUCGGGGCUCCACAGGGCAGGGUGCUGGCUAACGGCCAGUCGGGGCGACCCGCAGGAAAGUGCCACAGAAAACAGACCGCCGAUGGCGGGCUCCGGCCCGCACAGGCAACGGUGAAACGGUGCGGUAAGAGCGCACCAGCGGUUCGGGCGACCGGAUCGGCUCGGUAAACCCCACCCGGAGCAAGGCCAAGCGUGGGACGUGGGCGGCCCGUCCGUUCCCGUCAGGGAAAGUCCCCAGGUAGGCCGCUGAGAUGGAUGGCCACCCAGGCUCCGAGAGGAGCUGGACAGAACCCCGCCUACAGGCCGGCUCACCGU
RNAcentral lists this RNase P RNA (380 nucleotides) under Actinomycetota bacterium. RNAcentral describes it as "RNase P RNA component class A". It matches the Rfam family "Bacterial RNase P class A". Rfam says of the family: Ribonuclease P (RNase P) is a ubiquitous endoribonuclease, found in archaea, bacteria and eukarya as well as chloroplasts and mitochondria. Its best characterised activity is the generation of mature 5'-ends of tRNAs by cleaving the 5'-leader elements of precursor-tRNAs. The record is from RNAcentral. Lineage: Bacteria; Bacillati; Actinomycetota.